Molecule: ribosomal RNA, 429 nt
Filed under: Gemmatimonadota bacterium
Lineage: Bacteria; Pseudomonadati; Gemmatimonadota
Description: Gemmatimonadetes bacterium partial 16S ribosomal RNA
Rfam family: Bacterial small subunit ribosomal RNA
Source: RNAcentral
UAGGGAAUCUUCGGCAAUGGACGAAAGUCUGACCGAGCAACGCCGCGUGAGUGAAGAAGGUUUUCUGAUCGUAAAACUCUGUUGUUAGAGAAGAACAAGGACGUUAGUAACUGAACGUCCCCUGACGGUAUCUAACCAGAAAGCCACGGCUAACUACGUGCCAGCAGCCGCGGUAAUACGUAUGUGGCAAGCGUUGUCCGGAUUUAUUGGGCGUAAAGCGAGCGCAGGCGGUUUCUUAAGUCUGAUGUGAAAGCCCCCGGCUCAACCGGGGAGGGUCAUUGGAAACUGGGAGACUUGAGUGCAGAAGAGGAGAGUGGAAUUCCAGGUGUAGCGGUGAAAUGCGUAGAGAUAUGGAGGAACACCAGUGGCGAAGGCGGCUCUCUGGUCUGUAACUGACGCUGAGGCUCGAAAGCGUGGGGAGCAAACAGG